Molecule: ribosomal RNA, 564 nt
Filed under: uncultured bacterium
Lineage: Bacteria
Description: bacterial SSU rRNA
Rfam family: Bacterial small subunit ribosomal RNA
Source: RNAcentral
CCUACGGGAGGCAGCAGUGGGGAAUCUUGCGCAAUGGGCGAAAGCCUGACGCAGCAACGCCGCGUGCGGGAAGAAGGCUUUCGGGCUGUAAACCGCUUUCAGUAGGAACGAAACUGACGGUACCUACAGAAGAAGGAGCGGCCAACUAUGUGCCAGCAGCCGCGGUGAUACAUAGGCUCCAAGCGUUGUCCGGAUUUAUUGGGCGUAAAGAGCUCGUAGGCGGUCGAGUAAGUCGUGUGUGAAAACUUUGGGCUUAACCCAAAGAUUGCACUCGAUACUGCUCAACUUGAGUUCGGUAGGGGAGUGGGGAAUUCCUUGUGUAGCGGUGAAAUGCGCAGAUAUAAGGAGGAACACCGGUGGCGAAGGCGCCACGCUGGGCCGAUACUGACGCUGAGGAGCGAAAGCGUGGGGAGCAAACAGGAUUAGAUACCCUGGUAGUCCACGCGGUAAACGGUGGUCACUAGGUGUGGGUCUCUUCAAACGAGAUCUGCGCCGUCGCUAACGCAUUAAGUGACCCGCCUGGGGAGUACGAUCGCAAGAUUAAAACUCAAAGGAAUUGACGGA